GGAGCUCCUAGAAGCUGCCAGCCAGCAAAACCAGCCCCUACAGGCCCAGUUGAGCCUCAUGGCUCUCCCUGGGGAAG
Molecule: small RNA, 77 nt
Filed under: Pongo abelii (Sumatran orangutan)
Lineage: Eukaryota; Metazoa; Chordata; Mammalia; Primates; Hominidae
Description: processed transcript
Source: RNAcentral